Molecule: ribosomal RNA, 497 nt
Filed under: uncultured bacterium
Lineage: Bacteria
Description: partial 16S ribosomal RNA
Rfam family: Bacterial small subunit ribosomal RNA
Source: RNAcentral
GAUGAACGCUGGCGGCGUGCCUAAUACAUGCAAGUCGAGCGAACAGAUGAGGAGCUUGCUCCUCUGACGUUAGCGGCGGACGGGUGAGUAACACGUGGAUAACCUACCUAUAAGACUGGGAUAACUUCGGGAAACCGGAGCUAAUACCGGAUAAUAUAUUGAACCGCAUGGUUCAAUAGUGAAAGACGGUUUUGCUGUCACUUAUAGAUGGAUCCGCGCCGCAUUAGCUAGUUGGUAAGGUAACGGCUUACCAAGGCAACGAUGCGUAGCCGACCUGAGAGGGUGGUCGGCCACACUGGAAGUGAGACACGGUCCAGACUCCUGCGGGAGGCAGCAGUAGGGAAUCUUACGCAAUGGGCGAAAGGCUGACGGAGCAACACCGCGUGAGUGAUGAAGGUGUUCGGAUCGUAAAACUCUGUUAUUAGGGGAGAACAAAUGUGUAAGUAACUAUGCACGUAUUGACGGUACCUGGUCAGAAAGCCACGGCUAACUACGUG